CUGAGAGGAGCUUGGGAAGCUGCUCUUAAGAAUUUCUUGUCUGCUGACUCUCAGCUAAUAUCAAGGCCCAGCAAUGAUGGAGAAGUCAGAGGAGAAAGUCUCCCCUCCCCUUCAUCCUGCUAUCUCUCCCCAGUGUCUGGUUUUAUGUGAUAGUGACAUCGGGACUUAGAAACACUGGGGAGGAGGAUGAGGAGUUCUCCUUUACUGUUCCUCUUCCCCCAUGUCUUUCAGAUCUGUUCUAGCAGUGUGGUUGAUAUAUGAGGCCAAGACUGAGAGGAGGUCGUCACCACAACCUGUGCCUCACUGUAGAUUCAUCAGUGAAUUCAUCAAAAUAACAGCUCAGUAGCGAGGUUUGAUGUAUGAAGAAGCUCUGUUCAUUCUCUGUGGCCUCUGAAAAAGCAGUAAUUCACAUUCUAGAAGUCACAGCUUUCUUAGUAAAGACCCAAUAGGGCAAGUUUGCCUGCAACAAUGUGGAGAAGUGUCUAAGCUGUGAAUCCUGUGAGUGAAAUGGAUCAGCGAAUUUCACCCAUACGCUCUGUGCAUGUCAGCUCUCAUCUUUAUCUCAAGAAUAGUAGGAUGAAUAACUACAGAAGUCCUGAAAAUCCCUUUAAAUGAGCAAAUCAUUUCUAUGGAGCUGUUCUUCAGGAUUUCUGCAGAGAAGAGACAAUGUGGAACAGGCAUGCUCCCAUCCCUCUGAUUCAAAGUAUAUUGGAAGCCAAACUCUCAGAAACCUGACCGAUGUGUGCCAGACUUAGAUGAAAUAUGUAAAGAAAGAGUACAAGAAUUAAUGCACAACUCAAGGCAUGUCAGUGAUAUGCAAAGCAGCACAGAGAAGUAACAUCUGGGAGAGAAUCAAAUGAACUCAUUCCAGAAAUGAAGCUGUUACGGCUGCGUUAGCCCAGGGUUGAGCCCAGGACAGCUGGCUAGCUGAGAGGCAAAGCUAGUCAUCCUGGGAUGAAAUCCAGUCCACUGAAAUCCUACUUUUUUUCACAGACAGCAAAUCAGCCCACAUAUUUUUCUGGACUGCUCUUUAUAAAUCUCUCUAAAUUCAUUAAAGAC
RNAcentral lists this long non-coding RNA (1059 nucleotides) under Numida meleagris (helmeted guineafowl). RNAcentral's name for it is "lncRNA (ENSNMEG00000008541.1)". The record is from RNAcentral. Lineage: Eukaryota; Metazoa; Chordata; Aves; Galliformes; Numididae.